RNAcentral lists this ribosomal RNA (668 nucleotides) under uncultured bacterium. RNAcentral describes it as "bacterial SSU rRNA". It matches the Rfam family "Bacterial small subunit ribosomal RNA", at positions 51 to 706 of the family's 1533-position model. The record is from RNAcentral.
ACACAUGCAGUCGAGCGGCAGCGGGAAGAUAGCUUGCUAUCUUUGCCGGCGAGCGGCGGACGGGUGAGUAAUGCCUAGGGAUCUGCCCAGUCGAGGGGGAUAACAGUUGGAAACGACUGCUAAUACCGCAUACGCCCUACGGGGGAAAGGAGGGGACCUUCGGGCCUUCUGCGAUUGGAUGAACCUAGGUGGGAUUAGCUAGUUGGUGAGGUAAUGGCUCACCAAGGGGACGAUCCCUAGCUGUUCUGAGAGGAUGAUCAGCCACACUGGGACUGAGACACGGCCCAGACUCCUACGGGAGGCAGCAGUGGGGAAUAUUGCACAAUGGGGGAAACCCUGAUGCAGCCAUGCCGCGUGUGUGAAGAAGGCCUUCGGGUUGUAAAGCACUUUCAGUAGGGAGGAAAGGGUGAGUCUUAAUACGGCUCAUCUGUGACGUUACCUACAGAAGAAGGACCGGCUAACUCCGUGCCAGCAGCCGUGGUAAUACGGAGGGUCCGAGCGUUAAUCGGAAUUACUGGGCGUAAAGCGUGCGCAGGCGGUUUGUUAAGCGAGACGUGAAAGCCCCGGGCUCAACCUGGGAAUUGCAUUUCGAACUGGCGAACUAGAGUCUUGUAGAGGGGGGGUAGAAUUCCAGGUGUAGCGGUGAAAUGCGUAGAGAUCUGGAGGAA